Molecule: transfer RNA, 75 nt
Filed under: Danionella translucida
Lineage: Eukaryota; Metazoa; Chordata; Actinopteri; Cypriniformes; Danionidae
Also listed under: 1 other name
Rfam family: tRNA
About the family: Transfer RNA (tRNA) molecules are approximately 80 nucleotides in length. Their secondary structure includes four short double-helical elements and three loops (D, anti-codon, and T loops).
Source: Rfam by way of RNAcentral
GGCCUGUUAGCUCAGCUGGUUAGAAGUGUGGUGCUAAUAACGCCAAGGUCGUGGGUUCGAUCCCCACAUGGGCCA